UGCCGUAUACAGGGGGAUAACACUUAGAAAUAGGUGCUAAUACCGCAUAAGCGCACGGUUCCGCAUGGAACAGUGUGAAAAACUCCGGUGGUAUACGAUGGAUCCGCGUCUGAUUAGCCNGUUGGCGGGGUAACGGCCCACCAAAGCGACGAUCAGUAGCCGGCCUGAGAGGGUGAACGGCCACAUUGGGACUGAGACACGGCCCAAACUCCUACGGGAGGCAGCAGUGGGGAAUAUUGCACAAUGGGGGAAACCCUGAUGCAGCGACGCCGCGUGAGUGAAGAAGUAUUUCGGUACGUAAAGCUCUAUCAGCAGGGAAGAAAAAAAGUCCUUUGGACUUUGGACGGUACCUGACCAAGAAGCCCCGGCUAACUACGUGCCAGCAGCCGCGGUAAUACGUAGGGGGCAAGCGUUAUCCGGAUUUACUGGGUGUAAAGGGAGCGUAGACGGCAGCGCAAGUCUGGAGUGAAAUGCCGGGGCCCAACCCCGGAACUGCUUUGGAAACUGUGCAGCUCGAGUGCAGGAGAGGUAAGCGGAAUUCCUAGUGUAGCGGUGAAAUGCGUAGAUAUUAGGAGGAACACCAGUGGCGAAGGCGGCUUACUGGACUGUAACUGACGUUGAGGCUCGAAAGCGUGGGGAGCAAACAGGAUUAGAUACCCUGGUAGUCCACGCCGUANACGAUGAUU
Molecule: ribosomal RNA, 686 nt
Filed under: uncultured bacterium
Lineage: Bacteria
Description: bacterial SSU rRNA
Rfam family: Bacterial small subunit ribosomal RNA
Source: RNAcentral